AUGAGCUUGAGCACCUUUGGAGAUGAAUCUGAUCACCUGGCUCCGCUAGACUUGAAGAAAAGAAUAACUGAAGAUCCUCUGCAUAUCAUGAGCACAUGGAAUGGUUCCAUCAAUUUCUGCAGCUGGGUUGGCGUUACAUGCAACCAUUCAAACAAAAGAGUCGUGACUUUGAACCUGGAAGCUCAAAAAUUGGUAGGCUCCAUACCACCUUCUAUAGGAAAUCUGACUUAUCUCACCGGAAUCAACUUGAUACACAACUUCUUUCAUGGUGAAAUUCCUCAAGAAAUGGGACGUCUGCUCCGCCUGCGAUAUCUCAACCUCAGUUUCAAUUCCUUUGGUGGGAAAAUUCCAAGUAACAUAUCUCACUGUACACAGCUGAGAGUGCUUAAUGUUGGUUCCAAUAAGCUUAUUGGUGGUAACAAUCUCACUGGAACAAUCCCAGAUUGGAUAGGGAACUUUUCUUCUCUGUAUGCUAUUAAUAUUUUUCAAAACAAUUUUCAAGGAAGCAUACCGAAUGAGCUCGGGCUGCACAAGCUUGGGAAGAUUUGUAAUUCCUGGGAAUAAACUUUCUGGUAUGGUUCCUUCUUCAAUCUAUAAUAUAUCCUCCAUACACUAUAUCAUUGUUACUGAGAACCAGCUGCACGGAGAGCUGCCAAAAGAUGUGGGGAUCACUCUUCCUAAUCUGGAGACAUUUGCUGGUGGUGUCAACAAAUUCACAGGUAAUAUUCCUGUAUCCUUGUCAAAUGCUUCUACACUUCGACAGCUUGAUUUUGCUGAAAAUGGUCUCACUGGGAAACUCCAAGCUGAACAUUUCGGAAGCUUGCAAAGCUUAUCUAGACUGAACUUUGAUGACAAUAGACUGGGAAGUGGAAAAACUGGUGACCUGAGUUCUCUCAGUUUCCUUGCUAAUUGUACUAAUCUUGAGGUGUUGAGUUUUAGCCGAAAUCGUUUUGGAGGAGAAUUGCCAGAGUCCAUAUCCAACCUCUCAACAAAACUUAGUACAUUUACAAUGGGGGGUAAUUUGAUACAUGGAAGCAUCCCUAUCGGCAUUGCAAAUCUUGUAAACUUGAUCAAUCUAGGAAUGGAACAAAACUAUUUUGGUGGCAGUCUCCUUGAUGCAAUUGGCAAGCUCCAGAAGUUACAGGGAUUGUAUUUGAAUCUUAACAAGUUUUCGAAGCCAAUCCCAUCCUCCCUAGGUAACUUGACUUCAGUAACAACCCCUUCAUGGAGGGUAAUAGGUUUGAGGGAAGCAUACCUCCAAGCCUGAGAAACUGCCGAAGCUUAUUGAUGUUUAACCUUUCUAGUAACCGACUAAGUGGCAACAUACCGAAAGAGGUUGUUGGGCUUUCAUCCCUUUCAAUUUCUUUGUCCAUGUCAAACAAUUCUUUGACUGGUUCACUACCAUCGGAAGUGGGUGAGUUGGUAAAUCUCUCGGAGCUAGAUGUAUCAGCAAACAACUUAUCAGGUGAAAUCCCCGUAACCGUUGGCAGCUGCACUAGUUUGGUGAGCCUACAUUUGGAAGGUAAUGCUUUUGAAGGAAGAAUUCCUGAAACUCUGGCAAAAUUAAGAGGCUUGGAAGAAAUCGAUGUUUCACGCAAUCACUUAUCUGGGAAAAUUCCUGAAUUUCUAGGUAAGUUUAGAGCUCUUAAGCAGCUCAAUCUUUCUUAUAAUGAUUUUGAGAGUGCAUUGCCUGAAGAAGGAAUAUUUUCAAAUGCAAGUGGUGUCUCGGUUCAUGGAAAUAAUAAGCUCUGUGGAGGCAUCCCAGAAUUACUUCUACCUGCAUGCUCCAGCAAAAAGCCUAAUUCAUCUCAAGGACUACUUUCCCCAAAAGUAGUAAUCCUUAUAACUUGUGCACUUGCAUUCAUAUCUCUAUCAUGCUUCAUUGCUGCAUGUAAAAUGGUGAAAAGGUCAAGAGGUACUUCACGUUCUUAUGAGGAUUGGAAAUCAGGUGUCUCUUACUUAGAACUCACUUAAUCAACCAACGGGUUCUCUCUAGACAAUCUUAUUGGUUCAGGAAGUUUCGGUUCUGUAUACAGAGGAGUACUCUCUAGUAAUGGCAUGGUAGUUGCUAUUAAGGUAUUAAACCUUUAACAAGAAGGAGCUUCCAAGAGUUUCACUGAUGAAUGCAAAGCUUUAAGAAGUAUAAGGCAUCGUAAUCUUCUCAAAAUCAUAACUGCAUGCUCAAGCAUUGACAACCAAGGUAAUGAGUUUAAAAGUCUAGUUUCCGAGUUCACGGAAAAUGGAAGUCUAGACCCGUGGCUGCAUCCAAGAGAUGAUGAACAAUCUCAAGGUAAGAGAUUGAGCCUGAUUCGAAGACUAAAUGUUGCCAUAGAUGUUGCUUCUGCAUUAGAUUAUCUACACCACGAUUGUGAAACAUGCAUUGUUCAUUGUGAUUUAAAGCCAAGCAACGUUCUUCUUGAUGAAGAUAUGGUAGCCCAUGUUGGUGACUUUGGUCUAGCAAGGUUCCUUUUGGAAGCAUCAAAUAAUCCCACCAAAACUCAAACCAUGUCAGUUGGGCUAAAGGGUUUCAUAGGCUACAUUCCUCCAGAGUAUGGCAUGGGAGGCCAAGUUUCCGUACUUGGAGAUGUUUAUAGCUAUGGGAUACUGUUGCUAGAAAUGUUCACAGGAAAAAGACCAACUGAUGACAUGUUCAAAGAUGAUCUAAGCAUUCACCAAUUCACAGCCAUGUGGGGUCGGGGUGUUACAUUUACAAUGGGGGGUAAUUUGAUACAUGGAAGCAUCCCUAUCGGCAUUGCAAAUCUUGUAAACUUGAUCAAUCUAGGAAUGGAACAAAACUAUUUUGGUGGCAGUCUCCUUGAUGCAAUUGGCAAGCUCCAGAAGUUACAGGGAUUGUAUUUGAAUCUUAACAAGUUUUCGAAGCCAAUCCCAUCCUCCCUAGGUAACUUGACUUCAGUAACAAGGCUCUUCAUGGAGGGUAAUAGGUUUGAGGGAAGCAUACCUCCAAGCCUGAGAAACUGCCGAAGCUUAUUGAUGUUUAACCUUUCUAGUAACCGACUAAGGGGAACCAUACCUAAAAAGGUUGUAGGGCUUUCAUCCCUUUCAAUUUGUUUGUCCAUGUCAAACAAUUUUUUGACUGGUUCACUACCAUCAGAAGUGGGUGAGUUGGUAAAUCUCUCGGAGCUAGAUGUAUCAGCAAACAACUUAUCAGGUGAAAUCCCCGUAACCGUUGGCAGCUGCACUAGUUUGGUGAGCCUACAUUUGGAAGGUAAUGCUUUUGAAGGAAGAAUUCCUGAAACUCUGGCAAAAUUAAGAGGCUUGGAAGAAAUCGAUGUUUCACGCAAUCACUUAUCUGGGAAAAUUCCUGAAUUUCUAGGUAAGUUUAGAGCUCUUAAGCAGCUCAAUCUUUCUUAUAAUGAUUUUGAGAGUGCAUUGCCUGAAGAAGGAAUAUUUUCAAAUGCAAGUGGUGUCUCGGUUCAUGGAAAUAAUAAGCUCUGUGGAGGCAUCCCAGAAUUACUUCUACCUGCAUGCUCCAGCAAAAAGCCUAAUUCAUCUCAAGGACUACUUUCCCCAAAAGUAGUAAUCCUUAUAACUUGUGCACUUGCAUUCAUAUCUCUAUCAUGCUUCAUUGCUGCAUGUAAAAUGGUGAAAAGGUCAAGAGGUACUUCACGUUCUUAUGAGGAUUGGAAAUCAGGUGUCUCUUACUUAGAACUCACUUAAUCAACCAACGGGUUCUCUCUAGACAAUCUUAUUGGUUCAGGAAGUUUCGGUUCUGUAUACAGAGGAGUACUCUCUAGUAAUGGCAUGGUAGUUGCUAUUAAGGUAUUAAACCUUUAACAAGAAGGAGCUUCCAAGAGUUUCACUGAUGAAUGCAAAGCUUUAAGAAGUAUAAGGCAUCGUAAUCUUCUCAAAAUCAUAACUGCAUGCUCAAGCAUUGACAACCAAGGUAAUGAGUUUAAAAGUCUAGUUUCCGAGUUCACGGAAAAUGGAAGUCUAGACCCGUGGCUGCAUCCAAGAGAUGAUGAACAAUCUCAAGGUAAGAGAUUGAGCCUGAUUCGAAGACUAAAUGUUGCCAUAGAUGUUGCUUCUGCAUUAGAUUAUCUACACCACGAUUGUGAAACAUGCAUUGUUCAUUGUGAUUUAAAGCCAAGCAACGUUCUUCUUGAUGAAGAUAUGGUAGCCCAUGUUGGUGACUUUGGUCUAGCAAGGUUCCUUUUGGAAGCAUCAAAUAAUCCCACCAAAACUCAAACCAUGUCAGUUGGGCUAAAGGGUUUCAUAGGCUACAUUCCUCCAGAGUAUGGCAUGGGAGGCCAAGUUUCCGUACUUGGAGAUGUUUAUAGCUAUGGGAUACUGUUGCUAGAAAUGUUCACAGGAAAAAGACCAACUGAUGACAUGUUCAAAGAUGAUCUAAGCAUUCACCAAUUCACAGCCAUGGCUUGUCCUGACCGUGUCAUGGACGUAGUUGAGCCUUCAUUGCUCCUUGAAACGGAUGGUGAGAAUGAUGAAGAUGACAAAUAUGGAAAUCGCAUAGAAGAAAGACAAGUAGCAGGAUAUAAAGAUCCUGGCCCAGUCAAAGCGAAAAGAUUGGAGGACUGCUUGGAUUCAUCGAUGCAAAUAGGGCUCUCAUGCUCUGCAACAUCACCAAGAGACCGGAUGUCUAUGGAUAUCGUUGUCAACAAAAUGAAUGCAAUUAGAGACUCAUAUCUCAAUUUAAGAAGAAGAAGAAGAAGAAGAAGAUUGAAAAGUGUAAGAUAG
Prunus mume (Japanese apricot) is the source of this 4713-nucleotide non-coding RNA. The record is from RefSeq and is a predicted model, not a curated record. Lineage: Eukaryota; Viridiplantae; Streptophyta; Magnoliopsida; Rosales; Rosaceae.